GUUUGAUCCUGGCUGAGGAUGAACGCUGGCAGCGUGCUUAACACAUGCAAGUCGAACGAUGAUCUCCAGCUUGCUGGGGGGAUUAGUGGCGAACGGGUGAGUAACACGUGAGUAACCUGCCCUUGACUCUGGGAUAAGCCUGGGAAGCUGGGUCUAAUACCGGAUAUGACCAUCUGGCGCAUGUCAUGGUGGUGGAAAGCUUUUUUGUGGUUUUGGAUGGACUCGCGGCCUAUCAGCUUGUUGGUGGGGUAAUGGCCUACCAAGGCGACGACGGGUAGCCGGCCUGAGAGGGUGACCGGCCACACUGGGACUGAGACACGGCCCAGACUCCUACGGGAGGCAGCAGUGGGGAAUAUUGCACAAUGGGCGCAAGCCUGAUGCAGCGACGCCGCGUGAGGGAUGACGGCCUUCGGGUUGUAAACCUCUUUCAGUAGGGAAGAAGCGUAAGUGACGGUACCUGCAGAAGAAGCGCCGGCUAACUACGUGCCAGCAGCCGCGGUAAUACGUAGGGCGCAAGCGUUAUCCGGAAUUAUUGGGCGUAAAGAGCUCGUAGGCGGUUUGUCGCGUCUGCUGUGAAAGACCGGGGCUCAACUCCGGUUCUGCAGUGGGUACGGGCAGACUAGAGUGCAGUAG
This 633-nucleotide ribosomal RNA is filed under the name bacterium TN43C. RNAcentral describes it as "bacterial SSU rRNA". It matches the Rfam family "Bacterial small subunit ribosomal RNA", at positions 11 to 654 of the family's 1533-position model. The record is from RNAcentral.